Molecule: ribosomal RNA, 497 nt
Filed under: uncultured bacterium
Lineage: Bacteria
Description: partial 16S ribosomal RNA
Rfam family: Bacterial small subunit ribosomal RNA
Source: RNAcentral
GAUGAACGCUGGCGGCGUGCCUAAUACAUGCAAGUCGAGCGAACGGACGAGAAGCUUGCUUCUCUGAUGUUAGCGGCGGACGGGUGAGUAACACGUGGAUAACCUACCUAUAAGACUGGGAUAACUUCGGGAAACCGGAGCUAAUACCGGAUGAUAUUUUGAACCGCAUGGUUCAAAAGUGAAAGACGGUCUUGCUGUCACUUAUAGAUGGAUCCGUGCUGCAUUAGCUAGUUGGUAAGGUAACGGCUUACCAAGGCAACGAUGCAUAGCCGACCUGAGAGGGUGAUCGGCCACACUGGAACUGAGACACGGUCCAGACUCCUACGGGAGGCAGCAGUAGGGAAUCUUGCGCAAUGGGCGAAAGCCUGACGGAGCAACGCCGCGUGAGUGAUGAAGGUCUUCGGAUCGUAAAACUCUGUUAUUAGGGAAGAACAUAUGUGUAAGUAACUGUGCACAUCUUGACGGUACCUAAUCAGAAAGCCACGGCUAACUACGUG